AAACGUCAAACUGGUGGUGAUCAUGAAGGGUGAGGUGUUCUACAAAUAGGAAUUCCUAUCAAUCGGCGAGCAAUAUAACACGAGCAAUUUGAGAAAACAAUUUGAAGCUCUCGGCAAAAGGCAAGCUCAGAAGAAUCGUAUGAUCGAGUCUCCAUGAAUCGACCACAUCCUACUAAUAAAUGAAGACACCGAAAGACUUGGAGAAUCUCACGAAGACGAAGCUAAGGCGACGAAUCAAUUUAGCGACGAAAUUGCUCGACGAAGAUAUUUAGCUGCAACUGGCUUCGACCGCUGGUGUGGACAUUGGAUUCGGUCCAGAGUGCUCAAGAUGAGAGAGGAAGAUAUUUUUCUCGGUCUGUGCGCGUGCAUUCUUGCUUCGCUCGGUUCCUCAGCUCUCCCGCACGCACCAAGUGAGGGAGAAAGAGCACGAGAGAAGUUUCGAUUGGUGGUGAUGAGCGUCCGUUCUCUGCUCCGUCACUGCGGUUGCGGUUACUGGCGAGGGAGAUUUGACGGCGGUUGUCACCGAUCGGAGAUGGUACAGACAAUCGAUUGAUGGUGAUGGAGCCGUAAGGAAGUGGCAUCCUCAGUCGCAUUCUUUCAUGUUGUGUAUUUCACCAACUAUUUAUUUCCAUGAUUUAAUGAUUUAAAUAUUACGAAAUAACAUAAUUUUGACCAUUAUGUAACAAUAUAAUUUAAGUCAGUCACAUGACAUCACGUAUAACCUUUACGGUAGAUUUGAUUAUAUAAUUCUUUCGUUUGUUUAAGAUCACAUAUAUUUCAAACAAAGUAAGCAUGUAAAAGCAUUUUAAAUGAUUUUUAAUUACUAGAACAUUGUAUAAAUUUCUCAAAAUUUGUAGCAUUUAGUAUUAAAUGCUAAAAAAUUAGGAUUUAAAGCUAAAGCACAAUAAAACAAGACAAGAAGUAUAGCAAAAUGGUACUGUCAUGUUUAUUACAUGCAAAUAAUAUAUUUACUUUGUCCAACUUUCAAAAUAUCAAUUUCUUAUGUACAUGCACCAUCAUGAUAUUUGUUAGUAUGUAAAAUUUUUAAUCUCUUUUAGAAGGUAAGACAAUAAAUAGUAGAGAAUUCUUUUGUAUUCAUAUUUAAAAGAUAAUAUGUUAAUCGGUAACCUGCGAAUCAUCUUCAUUAUCUCAAGUUAUGAUUUCGUCCAUCUAUAGUUAUGUACGAGCAUAGUGUAUUUUAAUAUAUGCAUGGGGUAUCUAUAUAAUUUUUUUUUAUUUUUUGGCAAAAGCUCGAGAUGGAAAAGCUCAUUGGGUUUGCUCAAGUAACAAUACAAAUAGCAAUUUCUUUUUGUAAUGGUUCUUCAAUCGAAUGAUUUUUUUAACAAAAGAUAAAAAAGAAACACUAUCACUAAGGCGAGAAACUAGCCCAAAUAUAGAGAGGGAGGGAUUUUACCCGCCCCCAUUGGGCCACAAAAGGAAGAAAAAAUAGAAAUUGUAAAAAGAAAAAAAAAAGAUACACUUGCAACCCUUAUCCACGCACAUACUAUCAAUCACUCACACACAUUCACCCAAACCCUAAUAAAAAUAACUUGGAAAUGACUCCGAAUAUUUUCGCAAAACCUUUGCUUUACCUCCCGCAGCACCCCCAUGUUGAAGACACAUGAGCCAGGCAUGAUGCCCCUCUUCUAAUAUAUUGAGUCUCUCCCUCCAUGCAUAUCUUUGAGUCUCUUGCACCAAUCCUUCCAUCCGCUCCCCUCAUAGUACAUGGAUCCUCCUUAUCCUCAAGGAGUGACAAAUCCUUCCAUCCGCCAUCUGUGCCACGUAAACUAUGGAUCCUUACUAUUCUCAAAGAGUGAAGCCGGAUCCAUUAAGCAAUUCUUUUCAAUCUCAACCUUUAAAGCAUCCUCUAGAGGAUUGGAUUGCAACACAUAUCCCAACUUUUUAACGGUUGCACCCGCUAUUCUAAUAUUAAGGCUAAAUAUCAGAUAACUCUCGUCAAAUUGACCAAAGUCGACUGCUCCCUCCAAUAAUCCCCACAGCGCAUUUGUUUUGAAAAAUUGAAACCACAUGUGAUCCGUAUCAAAUGAACCGAGAGUUCCCGAUACCUCAUUCCACCUUUGGUCGUUGACAUGUUGUACGAUGUCGAAAGAUACUUCCUUUUCUCCAUUCUCUACAUCAAAGACAACAUAGAGAAAAAAUCCUACGAACUUGUUGUACAAGUCUUGCAAAGCCUUGAAAGAUAUACUACUGUCUUCAACAAGGACGAACCCCUUUGGCAUCUCUCUUCUGGGGCUAACAUCCCAUGAUAANNNNNNNNNNNNNNNNNNNNNNNNNNNNNNNNNNNNNNNNNNNNNNNNNNNNNNNNNNNNNNNNNNNNNNNNNNNNNNNNNNNNNNNNNNNNNNNNNNNNUUGUCGAGGCGGUGUCACGGCGCGCUCGGAUCACACUCAGAGAAGUAAAAAAUCAAAACCACAACAAGAUUACCUUCUGAAAUGGUACAUAACAAGAACUUCACCAAUUUCCAAAUACCAACAGAAACUUGCACCCAUGCUCUGUUGUCUCUCUUGCGAUCUGUUAGGCUCAAUAACAGUCUUCCACUGAGUAGUAUUUUUAAGAGUUAACUUCAACUUUACAUCCAUAGUUGGUACUAUUAAACCUGUGAUGAACAUAAGUCCUUACCAUAUCAAUAUAAAAACGAACAACUUAGCAGGUUUGGGAAGAAGAAAAAAAAUACAUGCUAGUGGGUGUGUACCAAGAGGAUGAGAUUAAAAUUGACUCUGCCGCCCAAGCACAAUAAGAACAAUUCUUAUCCUACAAGACACGAUCACAUUAUGCCAGUUUUAUUCCAGCAUUACUCCGAGGGAUAGCAGCAAUCCUCCAAAAAAACUUAUACACGAAAUUGUAUAUGGAAUAUCCUGAUCCAUCUAAAUUGACCCAAGCAUUGAUUUAAUAGUAGUCAAGACAUUUAAACCCAUAGUUUUGGUUUUUUUUUUUUUUUUGGGAGGAGGGGGUGCUUUGAAGCUGGUUCAUUUAGGCAAAAUCACAAACACCUGACGGACGUCAAGCAGUAGGGUUUCUUUAGACGAAAUAGAGAGGGGACAAGCAAUGGCAGUGGGAGAUAAUCUUGUUCACGCAGCUGUUAAUAGCUAUGGAAGCUCUAUACUCUCGCUCUACACCCAAGCCAUCAUUCUAAAUUCAUGGAUGAUCUUGCUCCAUUCUUACCUUGUGGACUUUCGGACAAAACAGAGCAGUCCAAAGAGAGUCUCACCCUCACUCUCCGCCUCAUCAAUCUUCAUUUCCUUCGUGGCAAUCCAUUUUCUCCUUGUAAUUGUGCCCCAGCCUUUGAUCAAGAGUGAAGCAAAACUCACUACUGCAAAAAAACUCCUUGAAGAAGACGAGAGGAUAGAGUACCACAGUUGUAAAGGAGUUAAAAUAAAAUUAGGUUGUUUUGAUAUCUCAAUUGGCUAUAAAAAUUCAAGAACUAAUGGUACAUUAUAAAACCAAAAUACCUUUUUAUCUAACUUCUCCUUUUCUAAUUUGAGAAAACGUAAUAUAGAGUGUCAUUUAAUAAAACUAACAGAUGGACAAUCUUUAUAUAUCAUCUGUUUACUCCACUCAUAUAAUAACUAUUGAAUCGAUUUUCCAAGAAUGUCAUUAUCAGAGUCAUGGAAGGUAUCAAUCGAACACACCCCCAUGACAUGAAGCAAGCUUGCUCUCUCAUAUUUUCAUGUUGAUCAGGCCAAAAGAUACUAAUAUUCAUAUUGAGAAUUUUUGGAUUUAUGAGUUGAGUAAGAAUUAAGUCUAUGCUUUUACCAAAAAAAAAAGAAAAAGAAUUCAGUCUAUGCACCGAAAUCCCGCAAAGAAAAUUCCAAUUUGUUAUCACCAAAUUUAGGUCUAGUACACUGCUCUUCUUAAUAUCAAUCGGGAAAAGCAGAAACUACGGAUUUCGCAUAUGAAAUUAGCAAGCAGACAUGUAAUAAAUUCUUCUAGAGCCAGCUCAGUUUGGUAUAUGUAGAUUCAGCAUAUUCCUUCAGUUCAAGAAUCAUUACUCUUAUUGAAUACCAUAUGGGGUCGAAAAGCAAGUACAUAUUUAUAUACCACAAAUCUCAUUGAAAAAUCAUUAUUUAUUAUGUAAGAUGUCAAGCAUGAGAUACGUGUACAAAUGACAUCAUGCAUGUGCAUCGAAUAUGGAUUGACAUUUGUGUACAAUGCGAACAAAAUGGCACACGUGACAAAGUGUGACGCCGUGGGAGCCACCUCUUGAACCUUGUUAGGAUAAACUGUCGCAUGGUGGGAGCCACCUCUUACACCGAUGGCGUCUAACUUUAGAAUCCUAUUAUAGUGCGAUCACUUGUGCACAUCAGCAUAUUUAGCUGUACGAUACUGUUGUAGCAAAUCUGCUCAAUGUAAGUUGAUUAGACUGUCAAGCAAUUGGGAAAACAAAUUACAAGCUUACUUUCUGAUUCUAGCUUGGCUCUAAAGUGAUUAAACUGUCCACAAACAAUUUUUCCAAAGAUGGCUUUGAUGGUGUGGGUGUAUGAGUGCUAGCUCCCAGAAGCAAUGGAUGAAAUUAUUUGACGGAAAUCGAUCUAAAUGACAGGAAUAGCAAAUUGCUCAAAAAUUAAAGUGGAAGUACUAUGAAUUAUUUAAAGGUGUAACGCAGGAAAUAAAGGAAAUCAAAGCAAAGAACACUAAACUCAAAGGCAUGAGCCGAACGAAAUUAACAGAAAACAAGAUUACUAGGACAUUGACAUUGCCGGAUUUGAAAUUAAUGACGGUUUGUACAAAUGACGCUCGAAUGGAGACAUUGAAAUCAACGUUACCACAAUACUCAAAGGGAAAUCAACAAUAAUUUUGGCAGGGUUCCAGCAUAAUUUCAACUUAUCUUUUUCCUCUGCAUAACUUCUAUUCAUAAGUCUUAAAUUCCCUUUGAUUAUCACUAGGUUGAUGUCCAUUUCUUAACUUAACUUCUUUUAUAUAUCCAUGAUUUCUUAACUUAACUGCUUUCAUAUAUCCAUAAUUUCUCAACUUAACUAAACUUCCGAUACCUGAGCAUUUCUUGUACCGUUUCGGCUUAUUUUGAAUUUAAAUUAAGUUGAAGACUCUCUUCCUCAAACUUUAGUGGAAUGGUCUUUUAGGAGCAUAAAAACGAGAUGAACUUGUUAUAGUUUGGCUGUGAUUUAUUCACCACCGAUGUAUAGUGACUUACUGUCAUACCAGACGACAAUUUAGUCACACAACCAAAUGAGACAAAGUUAACCAAAGCACCAAGGGAAAGAGAACUCUCUGCCAUCAAAGGAUGAAGCAUCAAAAUUCACAAUAUAUGAUCAGCAUGUCAAACAAGAACAUCCAGAUCACGCUAUGCAAUCUCAGAUUGAUCGAUGAUGAAGACAAAUUCGUCAUUAGCAUCUCUGAGGCAAAACGUCAAACUGGUGGUGAUCAUGAAGGGUGAGGUGUUCUACAAAUAGGAAUUCCUAUCAAUCGGCGAGCAAUAUAACACGAGCAAUUUGAGAAAACAAUUUGAAGCUCUCGGCAAAAGGCAAGCUCAGAAGAAUCGUAUGAUCGAGUCUCCAUGAAUCGACCACAUCCUACUAAUAAAUGAAGACACCGAAAGACUUGGAGAAUCUCACGAAGACGAAGCUAAGGCGACGAAUCAAUUUAGCGACGAAAUUGCUCGACGAAGAUAUUUAGCUGCAACUGGCUUCGACCGCUGGUGUGGACAUUGGAUUCGGUCCAGAGUGCUCAAGAUGAGAGAGGAAGAUAUUUUUCUCGGUCUGUGCGCGUGCAUUCUUGCUUCGCUCGGUUCCUCAGCUCUCCCGCACGCACCAAGUGAGGGAGAAAGAGCACGAGAGAAGUUUCGAUUGGUGGUGAUGAGCGUCCGUUCUCUGCUCCGUCACUGCGGUUGCGGUUACUGGCGAGGGAGAUUUGACGGCGGUUGUCACCGAUCGGAGAUGGUACAGACAAUCGAUUGAUGGUGAUGGAGCCGUAAGGAAGUGGCAUCCUCAGUCGCAUUCUUUCAUGUUGUG
Molecule: long non-coding RNA, 5985 nt
Filed under: Eucalyptus grandis
Lineage: Eukaryota; Viridiplantae; Streptophyta; Magnoliopsida; Myrtales; Myrtaceae
Description: long non-coding RNA (EGRA_LNC004806)
Source: RNAcentral